RNAcentral lists this ribosomal RNA (468 nucleotides) under uncultured bacterium. Its description in RNAcentral is "partial 16S ribosomal RNA". It matches the Rfam family "Bacterial small subunit ribosomal RNA", at positions 28 to 507 of the family's 1533-position model. The record is from RNAcentral.
GACGAACGCUGGCGGCGUGCUUAACACAUGCAAGUCGAACGGAAAGGCCCUGCUUUUGUGGGAUGCUCGAGUGGCGAACGGGUGAGUAACACGUGAGUAACCUGCCCUUGACUUUGGGAUAACUUCAGGAAACUGGGGCUAAUACCGGAUAGGAGCUCCUGCUGCAUGGUGGGGGUUGGAAAGUUUCGGCGGUUGGGGAUGGACUCGCGGCUUAUCAGCUUGUUGGUGGGGUAGUGGCUUACCAAGGCUUUGACGGGUAGCCGGCCUGAGAGGGUGACCGGCCACAUUGGGACUGAGAUACGGCCCAGACUCCUACGGGAGGCAGCAGUGGGGAAUAUUGCACAAUGGGCGGAAGCCUGAUGCAGCAACGCCGCGUGCGGGAUGACGACCUUCGGGUUGUAAACCGCUUUCGCCUGUGACGAAGCGUGAGUGACGGUAAUGGGUAAAGAAGCACCGGCUAACUACGUG